CCCUUAGAUGUUCUGGGCCGCACGCGUGCUACACUGAGUGGAUCAGCGGGUCAGGUUGCGCGAAAGUGUUUCCUAAUCUUGAAAUCCGCUCGUGAUGGGGAUUGACGGUUGCAAUUUUCCGUCAUGAACGGGGAAUACCUUGUAAGCGCGGGUCAUCAUCCCGCGCUGAAUACGUCCCUGCCCUUUGUACACACCGCCCGUCGCUCCUACCGAUUGAGUGGUCCGGUGAGGCUUUGGGAUCUGAGCAAAAAGAGCGUUUCGCUCGUUUGGCUCGGAAAACUCAGUCGAACCUUAUCAUUUAGAGGAAGGAGAAGUCGUAACA
This 322-nucleotide ribosomal RNA is filed under the name uncultured eukaryote. RNAcentral's name for it is "partial 18S ribosomal RNA". It matches the Rfam family "Eukaryotic small subunit ribosomal RNA", at positions 1470 to 1796 of the family's 1831-position model. The record is from RNAcentral.